UUAAAUUAAAGUUUCACACAAAUA
This 24-nucleotide small nuclear RNA is filed under the name Arabidopsis thaliana (thale cress). Its description in RNAcentral is "snRNA_12419". The record is from RNAcentral. Lineage: Eukaryota; Viridiplantae; Streptophyta; Magnoliopsida; Brassicales; Brassicaceae.